This is a long non-coding RNA of Thunnus maccoyii (southern bluefin tuna), 407 nucleotides long. RefSeq lists it as uncharacterized. The record is from RefSeq and is a predicted model, not a curated record. NCBI's taxonomy places the organism in Eukaryota, Metazoa, Chordata, Actinopteri, Scombriformes, Scombridae. The transcript has 3 exons.
GAGAGAUAGAGAGAGAGAGAGAGAGAGAGAGCAGAAGGGCAGAUGAAGAACUGAGACAAACACGUGCAUCAAUUCAACACAAAGUCACAGCCAUGACGGGCACUCCACAUUAAAGAAGAGGAGCUAAAUAAACAGCAGGGGGUGAUCUGACGGGUCGUUGCUCUGAGAUUCGUCACCCCUGUCCUUCGUGUCCUCACACUCAUCAACGCUGACUGACACCUGAGACUGAGGUGGGGAGACAGGAGGUUACCUUUAAGACCAGGAUGCUCAUCAUUAUAAAAGUUCAAAAAUAGCAAAAACAAUCAUUCUCAUAUGAGCACAGAGGUAUCCUGAUCCUGGUGUGGUGUCCAGUCCCAGCAGCAGCCUUGCAAUAAGGAUCAUGUAGUCCUUCACAAAAGACUGAUAAG